This 252-nucleotide ribosomal RNA is filed under the name uncultured bacterium. Its description in RNAcentral is "partial 16S ribosomal RNA". It matches the Rfam family "Bacterial small subunit ribosomal RNA", at positions 337 to 585 of the family's 1533-position model. The record is from RNAcentral.
UCCUACGGGGGGCAGCAGUGAGGAAUAUUGGUCAAUGGCCGAGAGGCUGAACCAGCCAAGUCGCGUGAGGGAUGACGGCCCUACGGGUUGUAAACCUCUUUUGUCGGGGAGCAAGACCCGACUCGUGCAGGCGGAGCGAGAGCACCCGAAGAAAAAGCAUCGGCUAACUCCGUGCCAGCAGCCGCGGUAAUACGGAGGAUGCGAGCGUUAUCCGGAUUUAUUGGGUUUAAAGGGUGCGCAGGCGGACCAUCA